AUUGAACGCUGGCGGCAUGCCUUACACAUGCAAGUCGAACGGCAGCACGGGUGCUUGCACCUGGUGGCGAGUGGCGAACGGGUGAGUAAUACAUCGGAACGUACCUUAUCGUGGGGGAUAACGCAGCGAAAGCUGUGCUAAUACCGUAUACGCCCUGAGGGGGAAAGCGGGGGAGCGAAAGACCUCGCGCGAUUAGAGCGGCCGAUGCCUGAUUAGCUUGUUGGUGGGGUAAAAGCCCACCAAGGCGACGAUCAGUAGCUGGUCUGAGAGGACGAUCAGCCACACCGGGACUGAGACACGGCCCAGACUCCUACGGGAGGCAGCAGUGGGGAAUUUUGGACAAUGGGGGCAACCCUGAUCCAGCAAUGCCGCGUGAGUGAAGAAGGCCUUCGGGUUGUAAAGCUCUUUUGUCAGGGAAGAAACACCGGCUCUAACACAGUCCGGGAAUGACGGUACCUGAAGAAUAAGCACCGGCUAACUACGUGCCAGCCGCCGCAGUAA
RNAcentral lists this ribosomal RNA (501 nucleotides) under uncultured bacterium. Its description in RNAcentral is "partial 16S ribosomal RNA". It matches the Rfam family "Bacterial small subunit ribosomal RNA", at positions 29 to 523 of the family's 1533-position model. The record is from RNAcentral.